RNAcentral lists this ribosomal RNA (371 nucleotides) under uncultured bacterium. Its description in RNAcentral is "bacterial SSU rRNA". It matches the Rfam family "Bacterial small subunit ribosomal RNA", at positions 527 to 896 of the family's 1533-position model. The record is from RNAcentral.
GUAGGUGGCAAGCGUUGUCCGGAUUUACUGGGCGUAAAGAGCGCGCAGGCGGUCAUUCAAGUCGAGUGUGAAAGCCCCCGGCUCAACUGGGGAGGGUCACUCGAUACUGUUUGACUCGAAGGCGGGAGAGGGAAGUGGAAUUCCCGGUGUAGUGGUGAAAUGCGUAGAUAUCGGGAGGAACACCAGUGGCGAAGGCGACUUCCUGGCCCGUUCUUGACGCUGAGGCGCGAAAGCUAGGGGAGCAAACGGGAUUAGAUACCCCGGUAGUCCUAGCCGUAAACGAUGGACACUAGGUGUUGGUGGUAUCAACCCCGCCAGUGCCGUAGCUAACGCAUUAAGUGUCCCGCCUGGGGAGUACGGCCGCAAGGCUA